Molecule: small nuclear RNA, 184 nt
Filed under: Zea mays
Lineage: Eukaryota; Viridiplantae; Streptophyta; Magnoliopsida; Poales; Poaceae
Description: U2 spliceosomal RNA
Rfam family: U2 spliceosomal RNA
About the family: U2 is a small nuclear RNA (snRNA) component of the spliceosome (involved in pre-mRNA splicing). Complementary binding between U2 snRNA (in an area lying towards the 5' end but 3' to hairpin I) and the branchpoint sequence (BPS) of the intron results the bulging out of an unpaired adenosine, on the BPS, which initiates a nucleophilic attack at the intronic 5' splice site, thus starting the first of two transesterification reactions that mediate splicing.
Source: Rfam by way of RNAcentral
AUAUCUUUUUGGUCUUUUGGCUAAGACAAAGUGCAAUAUAUACAAUUUAAUAUCUGGUACGUGGGCCAUAUGUCCACUUUAUUUUUUAAAUUUAUUUUUUGUAGGAAGUGUCCACUUUAAUUUUAAAUUUAUUUUUAGUGGGGAGAAUCCAUCACACUAGCUUGACACUAGGCCCUCACGUGUC